UUCAGUUUGAGUGUGGUAACUACUCAGGGGCUGUUGAUUACCUUUACCAGUAUCGUGCUUUGUGCACAAACAGUGAGCGAAAUGUGAGUGCCCUCUGGGGAAAGCUGGCAGCAGAAAUCCUAAUGCAGAACUGGGACGUAGCUUUGGAGGAACUCAACUGCUUGAAGGAAAUAAUUGAUUCAAAGAACUUCUCAUCACCUCUGAAUCAGCUCCAGAACAGGAUAUGGCUGAUGCAUUGGGCUAUGUUCAUAUUCUUUAACCAU
Long non-coding RNA from Zea mays, 263 nucleotides. RefSeq lists it as uncharacterized. The record is from RefSeq and is a predicted model, not a curated record. The transcript is spliced from 2 exons. Lineage: Eukaryota; Viridiplantae; Streptophyta; Magnoliopsida; Poales; Poaceae.